Molecule: ribosomal RNA, 637 nt
Filed under: alpha proteobacterium SOGA9
Lineage: Bacteria; Pseudomonadati; Pseudomonadota; Alphaproteobacteria
Description: bacterial SSU rRNA
Rfam family: Bacterial small subunit ribosomal RNA
Source: RNAcentral
ACCUGGCGGCAGGCUUAACACAUGCAAGUCGAGCGCACCUUCGGGUGAGCGGCGGACGGGUUAGUAACGCGUGGGAACAUACCCUUUGGUACGGAAUAGCCUCUGGAAACGGAGAGUAAUACCGUAUGAGCCCUUCGGGGGAAAGAUUUAUCGCCAAAGGAUUGGCCCGCGUUAGAUUAGGUAGUUGGUGGGGUAAUGGCCUACCAAGCCUACGAUCUAUAGCUGGUUUUAGAGGAUGAUCAGCAACACUGGGACUGAGACACGGCCCAGACUCCUACGGGAGGCAGCAGUGGGGAAUCUUGGACAAUGGGGGCAACCCUGAUCCAGCCAUGCCGCGUGAGUGAUGAAGGCCUUAGGGUCGUAAAGCUCUUUCGCCUGUGAAGAUAAUGACGGUAGCAGGUAAAGAAACCCCGGCUAACUCCGUGCCAGCAGCCGCGGUAAUACGGAGGGGGUUAGCGUUGUUCGGAAUUACUGGGCGUAAAGCGCACGUAGGCGGACUGGAAAGUUGGGGGUGAAAUCCCAGGGCUCAACCCUGGAACUGCCUCCAAAACUAUCAGUCUAGAGUUCGAGAGAGGUGAGUGGNANUCCGAGUGUAAGUGAAAUUCGUAAUAUUCGGAGGAACACAGUGGCGAAGGCG